RNAcentral lists this ribosomal RNA (2448 nucleotides) under Staphylococcus aureus R0611. RNAcentral describes it as "bacterial LSU rRNA". It matches the Rfam family "Bacterial large subunit ribosomal RNA", at positions 470 to 2925 of the family's 2925-position model. The record is from RNAcentral. Lineage: Bacteria; Bacillati; Bacillota; Bacilli; Caryophanales; Staphylococcaceae.
AUACUCUCUAGUGACCGAUAGUGAACCAGUACCGUGAGGGAAAGGUGAAAAGCACCCCGGAAGGGGAGUGAAAUAGAACCUGAAACCGUGUGCUUACAAGUAGUCAGAGCCCGUUAAUGGGUGAUGGCGUGCCUUUUGUAGAAUGAACCGGCGAGUUACGAUUUGAUGCAAGGUUAAGCAGUAAAUGUGGAGCCGUAGCGAAAGCGAGUCUGAAUAGGGCGUUUAGUAUUUGGUCGUAGACCCGAAACCAGGUGAUCUACCCUUGGUCAGGUUGAAGUUCAGGUAACACUGAAUGGAGGACCGAACCGACUUACGUUGAAAAGUGAGCGGAUGAACUGAGGGUAGCGGAGAAAUUCCAAUCGAACCUGGAGAUAGCUGGUUCUCUCCGAAAUAGCUUUAGGGCUAGCCUCAAGUGAUGAUUAUUGGAGGUAGAGCACUGUUUGGACGAGGGGCCCCUCUCGGGUUACCGAAUUCAGACAAACUCCGAAUGCCAAUUAAUUUAACUUGGGAGUCAGAACAUGGGUGAUAAGGUCCGUGUUCGAAAGGGAAACAGCCCAGACCACCAGCUAAGGUCCCAAAAUAUAUGUUAAGUGGAAAAGGAUGUGGCGUUGCCCAGACAACUAGGAUGUUGGCUUAGAAGCAGCCAUCAUUUAAAGAGUGCGUAAUAGCUCACUAGUCGAGUGACACUGCGCCGAAAAUGUACCGGGGCUAAACAUAUUACCGAAGCUGUGGAUUGUCCUUUGGACAAUGGUAGGAGAGCGUUCUAAGGGCGUUGAAGCAUGAUCGUAAGGACAUGUGGAGCGCUUAGAAGUGAGAAUGCCGGUGUGAGUAGCGAAAGACGGGUGAGAAUCCCGUCCACCGAUUGACUAAGGUUUCCAGAGGAAGGCUCGUCCGCUCUGGGUUAGUCGGGUCCUAAGCUGAGGCCGACAGGCGUAGGCGAUGGAUAACAGGUUGAUAUUCCUGUACCACCUAUAAUCGUUUUAAUCGAUGGGGGGACGCAGUAGGAUAGGCGAAGCGUGCGAUUGGAUUGCACGUCUAAGCAGUAAGGCUGAGUAUUAGGCAAAUCCGGUACUCGUUAAGGCUGAGCUGUGAUGGGGAGAAGACAUUGUGUCUUCGAGUCGUUGAUUUCACACUGCCGAGAAAAGCCUCUAGAUAGAAAAUAGGUGCCCGUACCGCAAACCGACACAGGUAGUCAAGAUGAGAAUUCUAAGGUGAGCGAGCGAACUCUCGUUAAGGAACUCGGCAAAAUGACCCCGUAACUUCGGGAGAAGGGGUGCUCUUUAGGGUUAACGCCCAGAAGAGCCGCAGUGAAUAGGCCCAAGCGACUGUUUAUCAAAAACACAGGUCUCUGCUAAACCGUAAGGUGAUGUAUAGGGGCUGACGCCUGCCCGGUGCUGGAAGGUUAAGAGGAGUGGUUAGCUUCUGCGAAGCUACGAAUCGAAGCCCCAGUAAACGGCGGCCGUAACUAUAACGGUCCUAAGGUAGCGAAAUUCCUUGUCGGGUAAGUUCCGACCCGCACGAAAGGCGUAACGAUUUGGGCACUGUCUCAACGAGAGACUCGGUGAAAUCAUAGUACCUGUGAAGAUGCAGGUUACCCGCGACAGGACGGAAAGACCCCGUGGAGCUUUACUGUAGCCUGAUAUUGAAAUUCGGCACAGCUUGUACAGGAUAGGUAGGAGCCUUUGAAACGUGAGCGCUAGCUUACGUGGAGGCGCUGGUGGGAUACUACCCUAGCUGUGUUGGCUUUCUAACCCGCACCACUUAUCGUGGUGGGAGACAGUGUCAGGCGGGCAGUUUGACUGGGGCGGUCGCCUCCUAAAAGGUAACGGAGGCGCUCAAAGGUUCCCUCAGAAUGGUUGGAAAUCAUUCAUAGAGUGUAAAGGCAUAAGGGAGCUUGACUGCGAGACCUACAAGUCGAGCAGGGUCGAAAGACGGACUUAGUGAUCCGGUGGUUCCGCAUGGAAGGGCCAUCGCUCAACGGAUAAAAGCUACCCCGGGGAUAACAGGCUUAUCUCCCCCAAGAGUUCACAUCGACGGGGAGGUUUGGCACCUCGAUGUCGGCUCAUCGCAUCCUGGGGCUGUAGUCGGUCCCAAGGGUUGGGCUGUUCGCCCAUUAAAGCGGUACGCGAGCUGGGUUCAGAACGUCGUGAGACAGUUCGGUCCCUAUCCGUCGUGGGCGUAGGAAAUUUGAGAGGAGCUGUCCUUAGUACGAGAGGACCGGGAUGGACAUACCUCUGGUGUACCAGUUGUCGUGCCAACGGCAUAGCUGGGUAGCUAUGUGUGGACGGGAUAAGUGCUGAAAGCAUCUAAGCAUGAAGCCCCCCUCAAGAUGAGAUUUCCCAACUUCGGUUAUAAGAUCCCUCAAAGAUGAUGAGGUUAAUAGGUUCGAGGUGGAAGCAUGGUGACAUGUGGAGCUGACGAAUACUAAUCGAUCGAAGACUUAAUCAA